RNAcentral lists this ribosomal RNA (497 nucleotides) under uncultured bacterium. Its description in RNAcentral is "partial 16S ribosomal RNA". It matches the Rfam family "Bacterial small subunit ribosomal RNA", at positions 28 to 507 of the family's 1533-position model. The record is from RNAcentral.
GAUGAACGCUGGCGGCGUGCCUAAUACAUGCAAGUCGAGCGAACAGACGAGGAGCUUGCUCCUCUGACGUUAGCGGCGGACGGGUGAGUAACACGUGGAUAACCUACCUAUAAGACUGGGAUAACUUCGGGAAACCGGAGCUAAUACCGGAUAAUACAUUGAACCGCAUGGUUCAAUAGUGAAAGACGGUUUUGCUGUCACUUAUAGAUGGAUCCGCGCCGCAUUAGCUAGUUGGUAAGGUAACGGCUUACCAAGGCAACGAUGCGUAGCCGACCUGAGAGGGUGAUCGCCCACACUGGAGCUGAGACACGGUCCAGACUCCUACGGGAGGCAGCAGUAGGGAAUCUUCCGCAAUGGGCGAAAGCCUGACGGAGCAACGCCGCGUGAGUGAUGAAGGUCUUCGGAUCGUAAAACUCUGUUAUUAGGGAAGAACAAAUGUGUAAGUAACUAUGCACGUCUUGACGGUACCUAAUCAGAAAGCCACGGCUAACUACGUG